GUACCCUCAAGCUUUGCUUGGUGUUGGGCGUCUUGUCUCUAGCUUUGCUGGAGACUCGCCUUAAAGUAAUUGGCAGCCGGCCUACUGGUUUCGGAGCGCAGCACAAGUCGCACUCUCUAUCAGCAAAGGUCUAGCAUCCAUUAAGCCUUUUUUUCAAC
RNAcentral lists this unclassified non-coding RNA (158 nucleotides) under Alternaria alternata. RNAcentral describes it as "partial internal transcribed spacer 2". Lineage: Eukaryota; Fungi; Ascomycota; Dothideomycetes; Pleosporales; Pleosporaceae. RNAcentral also lists the same sequence under 4 other names. The record is from RNAcentral.